RNAcentral lists this unclassified non-coding RNA (200 nucleotides) under soil metagenome. Its description in RNAcentral is "partial contains internal transcribed spacer 2 and large subunit ribosomal RNA". The record is from RNAcentral.
UUCGAGCGUCAUUACAACCCUCAAGCUCUGCUUGGUAUUGGGUGUCACUGUUUGUGGUGCACCUUAAAAUCAGUGGCGGUGCCAUCUGGCGUCUAGUGUAGUAAAAACUUCUCACUAUGGAGUUUGGAUGUAUGCUUUGCCAUCAACCCAUAAUUUUACAGGUUGACCUCGGAUCAGGUAGGGAUACCCGCUGAACUUAA